RNAcentral lists this long non-coding RNA (1196 nucleotides) under Scleropages formosus (Asian bonytongue). Its description in RNAcentral is "lncRNA (ENSSFOG00015031832.1)". Lineage: Eukaryota; Metazoa; Chordata; Actinopteri; Osteoglossiformes; Osteoglossidae. The record is from RNAcentral.
UUUUAAUUUAAUUUUUGUUGUAACAAUUCUAUUGAAACAACCAUAAAUCACUCAAAUACUGUAUUGUGUGGAUAUAUGUUUUUAGGUAUCAUCUGUGGAUAGAGGUUUGCUGUACUUUUAAUGCUCUUUAGAAAGCCAGGUUGUCUAAAGAAGUGUAAUGUGCAUGAGAUGGAUGUUUAGCCAAAAUUGUAGUUCUCUGCAUACUUCCAUACAAAGCACUAGGUAAUUGUUCAGUGCUUAGUGACUAGGACUAUCCAGUACCAGGGUUUUCUGAAGCUUGCUUUGGAGCAUUGAACCAAAAAAGGAAUGGAGGAUGUUGAAUACAGUUGUUCUUCAGUGUAGGAGAAGCCAUGAGUUUGCUCCAUACUAACAUAAAACAUCUCUGGGAACUGAACAUAAGGAUAUAAAACUGUUAAAAUUUUUUGGUCCCUCAUCUUAUGUGUACUCGUUUCUGUUUUCACAUGUUUUACAGGAGUUAUUGAUAAACAGAAGGAGUUGUGCUGCGGUUCCAAAGAAUCAGAGAGCGUUUUAUUAAAAAAAAAUGAACAUUAUCAAUGCUGUGGGAACCAAAGUUUUGAUGCUCAAGAAAACUGUUGCAUUAGAAAGAGUGUUACCAUUCACCCAAAAAAUGAAACCCUUUGUCAAGAACAGCUGGUAAGCACUCCAUUUUGUGGAGUUACUCAUUUAGGACCACCUACACAUGGAUACUUAUCAGGAGUUCUCUUGCCUCUUUAGUGUUCUCAUUGUACUAAGUCAUGAAGGUUUACAAACCUAGAGGAUACUGUAUUUUAAAUUAUUUCCAUUCCAAAGCCAAAUUAAUUCUCAAUGUCCAUGUCCUGAAAAAUAUUCACUUUUACAAAAAUACAAAACUUGUGUAAAUUCCUAAAAUGCAUCAUUACGUUGUCUUGUAUUUUUCUUACAUGUAUUACUUUUAUAUUGCAACAUCUUACAAUUGACUCUUCAGCUGCCUUCUAAUUUGUCAAAGGCCAAUGAGAGCAAGAGGUAAGAUCACAUGACACCACACAUUUGUACCUAUGUGGUGAUUUUCUGAGCCAGCAUCUCUCCAGGCUUUAUGACCUGUGUCGUUGCAAUUUACCUUACAUAGAAGAAACUGAGUCAUUGCCAGCAUGGGGAAUGACUAGUAGUAGGAGGAAAAUGUAGAAGUCUGACCUUCAAUAAAACUGAAAUGAGUACCA